This 897-nucleotide ribosomal RNA is filed under the name Triticum aestivum (bread wheat). Its description in RNAcentral is "partial small subunit ribosomal RNA". Lineage: Eukaryota; Viridiplantae; Streptophyta; Magnoliopsida; Poales; Poaceae. The record is from RNAcentral.
AUGGCGGGCAACGAGGGGACGCCGCUGGCCCAGCUGAUCGAGCCCGCGCCGGCGCCCGAGCUCGCGCUCCUGCCGCAGACGCAGGGGGCGACUCCCGCGAGCGCGCGGACGAAGGCGCGGGGCCGGCCGCCGGGGUCGAGGAACAAGCCGAAGCCGCCGGUGGUGGUGGUGCGGGAGAGCGCGGGGGCGAUGCGGCCCGUGGUGCUGGAGCUGGCCGCGGGCUGCGACGUGGCCGGCACGGUGGCCGCCUUCGCGCGGCGCCGCGGGGUGGGCGUGUCCGUGCUCUGCGGCCGCGGCGCGCUCGCCGCCGUCACGCUGCGGCUGUCGACCUCGGCGGGCACCUCACGCGCGGUCCGGCUGGAGGGGCGGUUCGACGUGCUGUCGCUCUCCGGGACGGUGCUGCCGGCGGCCGGCGAGGGCGCGGGCGCGGCCCCGACGCCGUUCUCGGUGUCCCUCGCGGGGGGCGACGGGCAGGUGGUCGGCGGCACGCUCGCCGGGGAGAUGACGGCCGCGGACGGCGGUGUCGUGCUGGUGGCCGCCACGUUCGUCACCGCCGAGGUGCACCGGCUGCCCGCGGUGGAGGCCGAGGCGGUGGUGGUCGAAGGCGAUGAUGGCCGCGGCGGUCGUCAGGAGGAGGAGAAGCGCCCACCAACAUCACCCCCGCCGCCUCCGCAGCAACAUCAGCAGCAGGGGAUGGUGGCCGCGAGCGCCGCCGAAGUGGGCCACGUCGCUGCCUACGGCGGGGUUCUGCUGGGCUGGGGCCCCGGCGGCCAUCCGGGCCAGGUUGGGCACUACGCGCAACAUGCCGAGCAGAUGCUCUCGCCGUGGGGCGUGUUCCCGGACUCACGCGCCGCCCCGAACCAUCCCGCGAGUUCGAGUCAUCACCAUUACUUGUAG